GGGGCUGUAGCUCAGUGGCAGAGCACUUGCCUAGCAUGCGUGAGGCACUGGGUUCAAUCCUUAGCACCA
This 69-nucleotide transfer RNA is filed under the name Marmota marmota marmota (Alpine marmot). It matches the Rfam family "tRNA". From Rfam's summary of the family: Transfer RNA (tRNA) molecules are approximately 80 nucleotides in length. Their secondary structure includes four short double-helical elements and three loops (D, anti-codon, and T loops). Lineage: Eukaryota; Metazoa; Chordata; Mammalia; Rodentia; Sciuridae. The record is from Rfam by way of RNAcentral. RNAcentral also lists the same sequence under 2 other names.